RNAcentral lists this ribosomal RNA (497 nucleotides) under uncultured bacterium. Its description in RNAcentral is "partial 16S ribosomal RNA". It matches the Rfam family "Bacterial small subunit ribosomal RNA", at positions 28 to 507 of the family's 1533-position model. The record is from RNAcentral.
GAUGAACGCUGGCGGCGUGCCUAAUACAUGCAAGUCGAGCGAACAGACGAGGAGCUUGCUCCUCUGACGUUAGCGGCGGACGGGUGAGUAACACGUGGAUAACCUACCUAUAAGACUGGGAUAACUUCGGGAAACCGGAGCUAAUACCGGAUAAUAUAUUGAACCGCAUGGUUCAAUAGUGAAAGACGGUUUUGCUGUCACUUAUAGAUGUAUCCGCGCCGCAUUAGCUAGUUGGUAAGGUAACGGCUUACCAAGGCAACGAUGCGUAGCCGACCUGAGAGGGUGAUCGGCCACACUGGAACUGAGACACGGUCCAGAAUCCUACGGGAGGCAGCAGUAGGGAAUCUUCCGCAAUGGGCGAAAGCCUGACGGAGCAACGCCGCGUGAGUGAUGAAGGUCUUCGGAUCGUAAAACUCUGUUAUUAGGGAAGAACAAAUGUGUAAGUAACUAUGCACGUCUUGACGGUACCUAAUCAGAAAGCCACGGCUAACUACGUG